CCAUAUCAAGAUUUCCUUUGUCUAUCGUGAACUAAAUUUAUAUUGAAUUUAAACUGACCAAUCACAUUAGUGACGUGAAGUUUGAUUCAUUUAUUGUUUUUCGCGUCCCGUUGCUCCUCCGUGUGGCAUAAACAUUAAUGCUCAGUUGGCUGAUCGAAUUGAAUGUCCCCCAACAAAAAAUCAAACGUACCACGUUUCCACGCAUGCGCAUUAGGCUUGUUUACGGAUGCGAGAGCGAAAGCUACGAGGCAGACCGGGAAAGAGAUCCAGAGCAUUUUAUCGGUCGAUACGCCAAAUAAAAAAAUGCUUCUGUCAUGUGUUAUGAAGUGAAAACAGGAACACAGCGGAUCUCCUCCCAACUAGAACGGCGUUCCGUCUCGAAAUCUUUUAACGGAACGCCGCUCCGGACCGAUACGGCUUACUUUCACCUCUGCCCUCAUCCCAGCCGCUUCACACUCGACUGCAAACCGCCCGAAUGCGUGCUGGAAGUCCUGGCUUGAUGAUGCCAACAGCACAACAUCAUCUGCAAAGAGCUGAGAAGAAAUCCUGUGCGCCUAGAAAUUCUGUCCAUAAAAACUGUUAACAGAACCGGUGAUAAAGGGCAGCCCUGCUGGAGUACAACAUGCACAGUUGUCUGAAGUAUUGCCGCCUACGGGACAGCUCUUGCUCCGGACAGACACAGACCGGACAGCCAUCAGUAAGGCUCCCCGGACCCCAUACUCCCAGAGCACCCUCCACAUGAUACCACGGGGGAUGUGGUCAAACACCUUCUCCAAAUCUAUAUAACACAUAUGAACAUUGUGUUGCUUCAGAAUUGUUUGGGAUUAUUUAAAAGAGAACGAACAGGAGCCACGCCAGCCAUUGUCAAACAGGGUUGUGCCUCCCUUGGCAGUGUGCAGACCUUGCAGUCACGCCUUCCUGCAGGAGGAGCAUCAGACAGCGACAAUUUAAAGCUGGGAGCUGUUCAUUGCUCACACACCAAUCUUCACCUUCACCAGCCAUGGAUAAACUCAAGUCUAUGAUAGGGUCAAAUCCUGAUGCCGUCGAACAAGCCGGCAAGAAAGCAGGUCAAAUGGUGGAGCAAGCGGUGAAGAGUGCUUUGAGUGGGAAAGACGGACAGAAAGGAAAGACGAAGGCAGGAGGACAAGCGGGGCCGAAGGUGGAAGGACAAGGAGGAGGAAAGGCGGGAGUGAAGGUGGAAGGACAAGGAGGAGGACAGGCGGGGGUGAAGGUGGAAGGACAAGGAGGAGGACAGGCGGGGGUGAAGGUGGAAGGACAAAAAGGAGGAGCAGAAGCGAAGAAGCAAGGAGAAGGGGACUUUGAUCUUGAUGAUGCACUUUCUGCAAUCUAAGGAGGCAAAAAGGAAGGAGGUUCGAAAGGGUUCCUGGGAGAAUUCGGCCUGUAAAAACUCAGCAGAAUCUUCAUCAGCUUCAUCCAUGUCUGCCACAGGACCAACUGAAGUCUGAGUCCACAUUUUUAUGUCAGAUUUCCUACAUGAAAGACCAUCAACUUAUUGUGAUAUACUCAACAAAAAUAAAUUUCCUUAAAGUCAAA
Molecule: non-coding RNA, 1554 nt
Organism: Oryzias latipes (Japanese medaka)
Lineage: Eukaryota; Metazoa; Chordata; Actinopteri; Beloniformes; Adrianichthyidae
Source: RefSeq, a predicted model, not a curated record